UACAGAGGGUGCAAGCGUUAAUCGGAAUUACUGGGCGUAAAGGGUGUGUAGGUGGUUGCGUAAGUUAGAUGUGAAAUCCCCGGGCUUAACCUGGGAACUGCGUUUAAAACUGCGUAGCUAGAGUAUUGCAGAGGAUAGUGGAAUUUCCAGUGUAGCGGUGAAAUGCGUAGAUAUUGGAAGGAACACCAGUGGCGAAGGCGACUAUCUGGGCAAAUACUGACACUGAGACACGAAAGCAUGGGGAGCAAACAGGAUUAGAUACCCUGGUAGUCCAUGCUGUAAACUAUGAGAACUUGCUGUUGGAUGCAUAAAGGCAUUUAGUAGCGAAGCUAACGCGUUAAGUUCUCCGCCUGGGGAGUACGGUCGCAAGACUAAA
RNAcentral lists this ribosomal RNA (376 nucleotides) under uncultured bacterium. Its description in RNAcentral is "bacterial SSU rRNA". It matches the Rfam family "Bacterial small subunit ribosomal RNA", at positions 524 to 898 of the family's 1533-position model. The record is from RNAcentral.